Molecule: transfer RNA, 73 nt
Filed under: Chitinivibrionales bacterium
Lineage: Bacteria; Pseudomonadati; Fibrobacterota; Chitinivibrionia; Chitinivibrionales
Description: tRNA-Lys
Rfam family: tRNA
About the family: Transfer RNA (tRNA) molecules are approximately 80 nucleotides in length. Their secondary structure includes four short double-helical elements and three loops (D, anti-codon, and T loops).
Source: RNAcentral
GCACCAUUAGCUCAGUUGGCAGAGCAGCUGACUCUUAAUCAGCGGGUCCAAGGUUCGAAUCCUUGAUGGUGUA